RNAcentral lists this long non-coding RNA (409 nucleotides) under Lonchura striata (white-rumped munia). RNAcentral's name for it is "domestica (Bengalese finch) lncRNA (ENSLSDG00000017230.1)". The record is from RNAcentral. Lineage: Eukaryota; Metazoa; Chordata; Aves; Passeriformes; Estrildidae.
ACUAUUAUGAGAACUGAACAUGGGUUCUCACACACUUUUUCUUCCAUAAAUUAGGGUUUGGGCUUCAGUAUCGUUGGUGGUAAAGACAGCAUUUAUGGACCAAUAGGCAUCUAUGUCAAAACCAUCUUUCCUGGUGGAGCUGCUGCUGCUGAUGGAAGGCUACAAGAAGGUGAUGAAAUCCUGGAACUGAAUGGAGAAUCCAUGCAUGGAUUAACACAUUAUGAUGCUUUACAGAAAUUUAAGGCUAAAAAGGGUCUUCUGACACUUACAGUCAGGACAAGCUUCAGCACACCUCAUUUUGCUUCCAGCUGUCAGUCACCCCUCUUGUGUCAGUCACUGAGCUCCAGUACAUGCAUAACCAAGGAAAACAGCUCGUUCAGUUCAGAAAAUGCAGCAUUCUCCUUAAAUC